GAUGAAGAACGUAGCGAAAUGCGAUACUUGGUGUGAAUUGCAGAAUCCCGUGAACCAUCGAGUCUUUGAACGCAAGUUGCGCCCGAAGCCAUCAGGUUGAGGGCACGUCUGCCUGGGCGUGACAUAUCGUUGCCCAAUGCCUAUUGCAGUGCAAUAGGAAUUUCUAGGGCGAAUGAUGGCUUCCCGUGAGCGUUGUUGCCUCGCGGUUGGUUGAAAAUCGAGUCCUUGGUAGGGUGUGCCAUGGUAGAUGGUGGUCGAGUUAGAACGAUACCGAUCAUGUGCAUGCUCCCCAAAAUAUGGCCUCUAUGACCCACACGCGUCUUUUGACGCUCAUGACGAGACCUCAGGUCAGGCGGGGCUACCCGCUGAAUUUAAGCAUAUCAAUAAGCGGAGGA
RNAcentral lists this unclassified non-coding RNA (395 nucleotides) under soil metagenome. RNAcentral describes it as "partial contains 5.8S ribosomal RNA, internal transcribed spacer 2, and large subunit ribosomal RNA". The stretch from base 1 to 122 matches the Rfam family "5.8S ribosomal RNA", at positions 35 to 154 of the family's 154-position model. The record is from RNAcentral.